This 1804-nucleotide unclassified non-coding RNA is filed under the name uncultured fungus. Its description in RNAcentral is "sequence contains 18S rRNA gene, ITS1, 5.8S rRNA gene, ITS2, 28S rRNA gene". The stretch from base 743 to 1804 matches the Rfam family "Eukaryotic large subunit ribosomal RNA", at positions 1 to 961 of the family's 3401-position model. The record is from RNAcentral. Lineage: Eukaryota; Fungi.
GGAAGGAUCAUUAACAAAUCAGUUGUGGAGGUGGUGGGAAUAGGGGAAGGUAGCUCUUAGGAUAGAGAUAUCCGAGGGGAUAUCCUUUCUCUUUGCCAUCACCAUCACAUAACAUUGACUCGGACUUGAUGUGUGUGUAAUACUAUGUAUCACAUGUGCACCAAGUCUUGAGCAAUAUUCACGCUUGUUGUGUUUGACUGAGUUAUGUCAAAGGAAAUAUAGACAACUUUUAACAAUGGAUCUCUUGGCUCUUGCAACGAUGAAGAACGCAGUAAAGUGCGAUAUGUAGUGCGAUUUGCAUGAAUCUGUGAGUCAUCAAAUUUUUUAACGCAACUUGCACCUCUUGGGUAACUGAGAGGUAUGUCUGUUUGAGUAUCUAAUAACAACUUGCCACUAAUAAGGGGCAGACUUGAGGCCUUCAUGGCAUGUGCUGUGGGCCUUUAAAGGUAGCAAGCUAAAGGCAUAGAGAACCUUGGCUAUGUGCUAGAGACCUAUGGUCUUGUCAUAGCAAAGUGUUUUGUAUGCUGAAUGGUGUGUGUGUGUUGAGUGUAAGAGUGAGAAGGGGGCGGUUGGUGUAGUGUACAAGUGUGGUAUAGUGUGGGCAUACUUAGGGUGUAUGUGGAUAUACUUACGGUGUAUUCACGUAUAUUACGGUAUACUCUGUAUACUCGCUUGCUUGCUAUAUCUUCCUACCUUACCUUUAUCCUCUAACACCGCGCACACAUCUCCACUAUUAUCAUUCGGGUCUCAAAUCAGGCAAGACUACCCGCUGAACUUAAGCAUAUCAGUAAGCGGAGGAAAAGAAACUAACAAGGAUUCCCUCAGUAGCGGCGAGUGAAGCGGGAAUAGCUCAAAUUUAGAAUCUGGACGGUUAGACCGUUCCGAAUUGUAGUCUAAAGAGGGUGAUCGAGGCAGUUAGGGCAGGACCAAGUCCCUUGGAAGAGGGCGCCUAAGAGGGUGAGAGCCCCGUUUAGUCCUGACCUGGCGCCCAACAUGAGAGCCCUUCUAAGAGUCGAGUUGUUUGGGAAUGCAGCUCAAAGUGGGUGGUAAAUCUCAUCUAAGGCUAAAUAUUGGCAAGAGACCGAUAGCGAACAAGUACCGUGAGGGAAAGAUGAAAAGCACCUUGAAAAGGGAGUUAAAUAGUGCGUGAAAUUGUUAAAAGGGAAACGAUUGAGGCCAGUAUUGUCUGCGAGUAGUAAUGUCUAUCUCUUGGGAUGGACAAAGCCUUGUAGGCGAGUCAAUGACUGUUAGGACUCUUCAAGACUGGUCUUGGGAAGGUGGGGUUGCUCUUCGGGGCUUCUCUUUAUAGACCUUGACCAACGGAGGAGUGACUGACAGAGCCAGUUACUGGCCACGACUGACUAGCGCUAGGCCUUGCUUUUGUUGCCCCUCGGGACGGACUGCAUGCAGACCGAACCAGCAAGCAACAGAAGCAAGUCUAGGAUGUUAGGUCUGCAUUGACGAAAUGGACUUAAACGACCCGUCUUGAAACACGGACCAAGGAGUCUAACAUGUAUGCAAGUAUUAGAGUGGCAAACUCGUAUGCAUAAUGAAAGUGAAUUCUGCGAGCGUUAGAAAGCAAAAACCUUUUCGACGCGCAGCAGAGACCGGCCUCGAUAUCUCUUGACAGGACCGAGUAAGAGCUUAUAUGUUGGGACCCGAAAGGUGGUGAACUAUGCCUGACUAGGGCGAAGCCAGAGGAAACUCUGGUGGAGGCUCGUAGCCGUUCUGACGUGCAAAUCGAUGGUAAAAGUUGGGUAUAGGGGCGAAAGACUAAUCGAACCACCUAGUAGCUGGUUCCCUC